Molecule: transfer RNA, 82 nt
Filed under: Planctomycetales bacterium
Lineage: Bacteria; Pseudomonadati; Planctomycetota; Planctomycetia; Planctomycetales
Description: tRNA-Tyr
Rfam family: tRNA
About the family: Transfer RNA (tRNA) molecules are approximately 80 nucleotides in length. Their secondary structure includes four short double-helical elements and three loops (D, anti-codon, and T loops).
Source: RNAcentral
GGGGGAUUUCCCGAGCGGUCAAAGGGGGCAGACUGUAAAUCUGCUGGUUUUACCUUCGAUGGUUCGAAUCCAUCAUCCCCCA